CUGAGGGGUAACUGGUGGUGGUUUCCCCCGUAAUCCCCGUACUUCCUGAUUGCCUGAAAAUGGCCUUUUGAUCUUUGCUCUUCCGGUCCCUGCAGUGGUGGUGUCAGCCUCUGACUCCCUUGCAUUAGAGUCCUUUCAGGCAUUACCUGAAACACAUAGAGGAGCUCCUCUUUUCCUGGCUGAGGCAACAAGAGCUCUGUCUGUGGCAUCAGUACAACCUUCAUGGCAGAGCUGUCUCUCUGGGCACCUCCUAUUCCUGUCACCCCACCUCUGCUCCCUCGUCCCUCUGAUGUACCCUGUGAGGCAUACUGCGAUCUCCCGAAGACUCUAAACCAACCCCCCAAAUUGUGCCCUGGAAAACCAGACCAUUCAUAAGAGUAAGAAAAGGCAGACAGCAGAGUGAGCAAGAGGCAGAGAGAAGGAAAGGGGAAGAAGAUUAAAAGCAGGGUGAUUAAGGGAGAUGAUGAUGAGCACAGUAGACGGCUGGAGAAAGAUGCAGAAAAGAGAACAAAGCUGAGACCUUCCCUUGCCAGAUAUGCAUGUGUGGGUUCAGGGGCCCGCACUCUUAUCCAGAGUUGGUUUCAUGUCAGGUGCCAAGGUAAGGACGUCAUGUGCUUCAUCUCUCACCUGGAUCACUACAGUAGUUUCCUAACCGGUUUCCCUGCUUCCACCCUCGCCGUCCUGUCUGUUCCCAACCCAGCAGCUGGAGUGAUCCCAUUCAGAUGUGAGUCAGAGCACGCCACUCCUCUGCUCUCACACUCUCUGACCUCAUUUACCUCCACUCUGUCCACACCCUCAGUCCAGCCAGACUCACUGUUCCUCCAACAUACUAGGUCUGCUCCUGCCUCAGGGUCUCUGCUCAGGCUGUUCCCUCUGCCUGGAAGGAAUUCCCGGGGAUGUCCACCUGCCGCUGUCUUACAUCCGCUGAGUCACUGCUUCAUACAGGCUCUUCUGGUCACUCCAUCUAACCCCUCCCACCUCUCCUUAGCCCCUUUCCUUUCUGACAUAAGAUAUAAUCUAGUUGUUUAUUUUUGUUGUCUAUCUUCUACUAGAAUGUAAGCUCCAUAUAAAGACAGAGAUUUUUGUUUGUUCACUGCCUGGCACAUAGUAGGAACAUACUAAGUGUUUGUUGAAAGAAUGACCUCGUGAGGUAGGUACUAUUAUUAAUAAGCACAUUCUAUAGAAGGUAAAACUUGGACUCACCAGUGUAAAGCAACUGCCCAAGAUCACAUGGUGAAGUGAAAGAGCAAGUGUUGAACCCAGUCAUGUCUGUUCAAAAGCCUGUGCUCAUCAACACGUCACUGGAAUAUGCUCUUCCUCUUGCUGCGAGCUGCUGAGCUCAGUAGGAGGAAACUGUUUCUCACGUCAGCCUUUCCUUCUGGUUAACCAGACCACUAGGCUUUCAGCUGGCCUUCCUGAGCUGCGAGGUGGAACAUGGCACGAUAGCAGCCGUCUUGCUAAGGGAGCUUGCCUGAGGAUAAGACUAACAUGCUACAAUGCAAGGGUAGGAAGACGGAAGGAAUGUGAAUCCUUGGUGAUGUUGCUGAGCUGCUGAAUCAACUGACCAUGGGACUACCCUACUCAAGACUUCUCGUUCUAUAACAUACCACAUUUUCCUUAUUGCUCAAGUCAGCUGGGUCAGCAUUUUCUGUUACUUAGACCUGAAGGCUUCCUGAUACACUUGCCUAUGUCCAUUAACAUGGAUGUCAAAGAGUCUCAGCUGGUGGUCAUAGGUCUGUUUUUGUUUGAC
Equus caballus (horse) is the source of this 1750-nucleotide long non-coding RNA. The record is from Ensembl. NCBI's taxonomy places the organism in Eukaryota, Metazoa, Chordata, Mammalia, Perissodactyla, Equidae.